This is a long non-coding RNA of Gorilla gorilla gorilla (western lowland gorilla), 1208 nucleotides long. RefSeq lists it as uncharacterized. The transcript is spliced from 4 exons. NCBI's taxonomy places the organism in Eukaryota, Metazoa, Chordata, Mammalia, Primates, Hominidae. The record is from RefSeq and is a predicted model, not a curated record.
CGUGCCUGCCGUCCUAGCUACUCCCGAGGCUGAGGCGGGACGAUCAAUUGAGCCCGGGAGGUUGAGGCUGCAGUAACUCGAGAUCUCGCCACUGCAUUCCAGCUUCUGCGACAGAGCGAGACCGUGUCAAAAAAAAAAAAAAAAAAAGGCUGACUAGAAACAGCUAGUGUGCGCCACUCUCACAAACAGAAGAAAGUGAUCAUCCAGGUGGACACUCUGGGAUUCAGCGAGGAAACAACACAACCCACGGAGAACAAAGACGAGUAAGACAGGACAGCCUCCCACCGGGACUGGUACGGAGCCAGGAGAGGACCCCAACAUGGGGAAAUGGAUCUUUAUUGUCCUUGUGUGCCUUCACUCCAACUCUGAUUAAAAAGGACUCUCUACAGAAGAUUUACUACUGGUCACUUACAUUGAUGCACUUGAUGAAAACCUUUCUACUGGGGUUUCUUCAGAGCUUUAUGACUCGUUAAUGCAGAAAUGACAGCAGAAUAUCUAUUGUUUUAUGUCAAGAACAUUUGCCAGCAUUUGCAGUGAUAACAGUCCUGAGAGAUACGGCAAUGUUAGAUUCAGAUGUGGCAAGUUUCCUCUGGCAGAAGAUCAAGGCCCUGGGCUGGCUGCUGCAUUUUCUAAGGGAGGCCUCAGCAGUGACUGAGGCUUUUCUUUUUGACAUCUAUCUGCAAACUGCCUCCACCCCGCUGCAUUCCUACAACUGAUGCCCCAUGACUUCCUUCCUACUUUCUUGUUGCUCAUUUCUUAGUGUCUGAUAAAUAGGCUAACAUUUCCAGUGGAAUUAAUGUAUCAUUAAGUAGAUUUUAAACACAAAAACCUGUGCUACUCCUUCUUAAGAAUGAGGUCUGUUUACCUUCUGAGUGGGUUAUUUAAUAAAAAUAUUAGGUGAGUUAAAUUAAUAAAAACAAACAACAACAAAAAACAAAUACCACUGUGCUCACUGCCACUACUUUCCUUCCCUUUCUCCACCAAAACCCAAACAAAGCUGCAACAAGACUUGCCUCACCUAGGACUGACUGGUGAUUACACAUUUUACUUACCGGGACUCAUAAAAUUGUCAAAAAAGUGACCUCUGUGACCAGGAGGCAGCUACUAACUACAUUUCCAUUUAUGGCUUCUCUGGCUGUGGUUUAGAAUAUUUAUCCUCUCCUUUGCUGUUGGUGGUUUAUCUAAUGCUAAAGGCUAUAAACAGACUG